Molecule: long non-coding RNA, 1795 nt
Organism: Prosopis cineraria
Lineage: Eukaryota; Viridiplantae; Streptophyta; Magnoliopsida; Fabales; Fabaceae
Exons: 2
Source: RefSeq, a predicted model, not a curated record
AGAACGAAGGAGAAGGAGACGGAGACAGAAAAAUGAAGGAAAAACAGAGCAUGGAGAGAAGGAGAAACAGGAACGUUUUAGCAAGAGAGAAGAGGGAGGAGAGACGGAAAAAGAGAGAGCCAUAAACGUGAGAGAGAGGUGAGACCGAGGAAGAGUCCGAGAGAGGACCGAAAAAAUGAAAAACAGAGGAAAGAAAAACUAGAGGAGGUGACAAGGAAGAGCGGACCGAAGGGGAGAGUACGUGUUUCCUGAAAAAGACUGAGAGAGGAGUGAAAAAAGAUAGAACUCGAACAGAAGAAAAAAAACAGAGAGGCUGGGAAGGAGGAGGAAGAAAGGAAAAGAAGGAGAGAGAGCAGUGACCGAAUGUAGGAGAUGGGAGAAGCUUGAACAGAGACAAAGAAGAGAAGAGAACACAGCAACGAGAAAAAAAAUAUGAAAAAACAGAGCACUGAAAAACUGAAGAAGAGAGAGCACGAAAAUGAGAGGAACAAGAGAAAAAAAAACUGGAGCACAGAAGGAGAGAGCACAGACACAGCAUGCACGCAAGAGGAAGAUCUAGAGAGAGCACGAAAAAAAAUAGAGCAUGGUGGGGGAAGCAAAAAAACUCGACGGCGAAGUGGAAGAGAGAGAGGAAGAAGACAGAAAAGAAAAGAUCCCGAGAGAAAAAUGGAAAAAAGAGUGGGUUGGAUAGCGUUUGAGUGAGAUUCGAACAGAGAUGGGAGGAGAGAGAGAGCAGUGGCAGAGAUAAAAAAAAAGAGAGGAGAAGGAGACCGAGGGAGAGAACAUGAAAAAAAUAAGAAGAAGAAACACAGCCAUCCAAGGGGGUUGGGCACGUCAGCAACAGAGAAAAAGAUAAGAAAAACCAGACGAAAGAAAGAAGAGAAAAACCGAGGACGAAGAAUUUUGUGAAAUUAUCUGCCUAAGUCUGCCUCUCCUCUUCUUGAUAAGCACCUGAGUGGAUAAAAAAUGCAAGGCUGGACGAAACAUGGACCAACACUGCACACGAGAGAAACAAGAAAUCUGCAGAAGCACACACACGCAAGACAGUAAGGAGAAGACGCAUGCACGUUGCAGAAAAAGCAAAAGAAACCAGAUGCGGAAAAGAUCAGACGUGAAAAACACUUGGUCACGCAAAGAAAAGGAGUCAGAGACAUAUGCAGAAAAAGAAAGGCAUGCAUGUACGAAGAAGAAAAGAAAAACAAAUGCUGGACACGCACGCGAGAGAAACAGAGAAAAAGAGAAAGAAAUAGAGAAGACGUGCACGGCAAAGAAAAGAGCCCGAGCCUCAACAAUAAAGGGAUCUCUCACGUAAAGAGACGGGGGGGACCGGAUUUUUUGGCUCAUGGAGGAGAGAACGAAGGAGAAGGAGACGGAGACAGAAAAAUGAAGGAAAAACAGAGCAUGGAGAGAAGGAGAAACAAGAACGUUUUAGCAAGAGAGAAGAGGGAGGAGAGACGGAAAAAGAGAGAGCCAUAAACGUGAGAGAGAGGUGAGACCGAGGAAGAUUCCGAGAGAGGACCGAAAAAAUGAAAAACAGAGGAAAGAAAAACUAGAGGAGGUGAUAGGGAAGAGCGGACCGAAGGGGAGAGUACGUGUUUCCUGAAAAAGACUGAGAGAGGAGUGAAAAAAGAUAGAACUCGAACAGAAGAAAAAAAACAGAGAGGCUGGGAAGGAGGAGGAAGAAAGGAAAAGAAGGAGAGAGAGCAGUGACCGAAUGUAGGAGAUGGGAGAAGCUUGAACAGAGACAAAGAAGAGAAGAGAACACAGCAACGAGAAAAAAAAUAUGAAAAAACAG